Molecule: ribosomal RNA, 468 nt
Filed under: uncultured bacterium
Lineage: Bacteria
Description: partial 16S ribosomal RNA
Rfam family: Bacterial small subunit ribosomal RNA
Source: RNAcentral
GACGAACGCUGGCGGCGUGCUUAACACAUGCAAGUCGAACGGAAAGGCCCUGCUUUUGUGGGGUGCUCGAUUGGCGAACGGGUGAGUAGCACGUGAGUAACCUGCCCUUGACUUUGUGAUAACUUCAGGAAACUGGGGCUCUUACCGGAUAGGAGCUCCUGCUGCAUGGGGUGGGUUGGUAAGUUUCGGCGGUUGGGGAUGGACUCGCUGCUUAUCCGCUUGUUUGUGGGGUAGUGGCUUACCAAGGCUUUGACGGGUAGCCGACAUGGGAGGGUGACCGGCGACAAGGGGACUGAGAUACGGACCAGAAGGCAACGGGAGGCAGCAGUGGGGAAUAUUGCACAAUGGGCGGAAGCGUGAUGCAGAAACGCCGGGUGCGGGAUGACGGCCUACGGGUUGUAAACCGAUUUGGAAUGUGACGAAGCGUGAGUGACGGUAAUGGGUAAAGAAGCACCGGCUAACUACGUG